GUUUAUCAAAAACAUCGCCUCUUGCUUCAGUGAAUAAGAGGUCACGCCUGCCCUGUGACUAUAUGUUUAACGGCCGCGGUAUUUUGACCGUGCAAAGGUAGCGCAAUCACUUGUCCUUUAAAUGUGGACCUGUAUGAAUGGCAUAACGAGGGCUUAGCUGUCUCCUUUCUCAAGUCAAUGAACUUGAUCUCCCCGUGCAGAAGCGGGGAUAAAACCAUAAGACGAGAAGACCCUAUGGAGCUUUAGACAAAAGACAGCCCCUGUCAAUAAACCCCAAAUAAAGGGAAUAAACCUAGUGAACCUGUUUUAAUGUCUUUGGUUGGGGCGACCGCGGGGUAACAAAAAACCCCCAUGUGGAAUGAAAAUACCCUUUUUAAAACCAAGAGUCACCACUCUAGGAUACAGAACAUCUGACCAAUAAUGAUCCGGCUAAAGCCGAUUAACGAACCGAGUUACCCUAGGGAUAACAGCGCAAUCCUCUUUUAGAGUCCAUAUCGACAAGAGGGUUUACGACCUCGAUGUUGGAUCAGGACAUCCUAAUGGUGCAGCCGCUAUUAAAGGUUCGUUUGUUCAACGAUUAAAGUCCUACAUGAUCUGAGUUCAGA
RNAcentral lists this ribosomal RNA (605 nucleotides) under Takifugu oblongus (lattice blaasop). RNAcentral's name for it is "partial large subunit ribosomal RNA". It matches the Rfam family "Bacterial large subunit ribosomal RNA", at positions 1802 to 2615 of the family's 2925-position model. Lineage: Eukaryota; Metazoa; Chordata; Actinopteri; Tetraodontiformes; Tetraodontidae. The record is from RNAcentral.